Peromyscus maniculatus bairdii (prairie deer mouse) is the source of this 800-nucleotide non-coding RNA. The record is from RefSeq and is a predicted model, not a curated record. Lineage: Eukaryota; Metazoa; Chordata; Mammalia; Rodentia; Cricetidae.
AACGCCACUGAUGUCCAGAUAUGGAGUGUUGGUGUUUGCUAGAACUCCUUGCAAUUUCUAAGAAGAAAGCUGUAAAAAGGGGGACGAGCCUAUAGAAGAAAUGCAUGGUUGACAGAUGUGUGAAGGAAAACGUUGUACUGUGGAGCAUUUAUCUACGUUCUUUAUUAAUCGGUACUCAGAUAUCAGGUAACUGCUUCUGAAUGGAGACCAAUUCUAUCAAACGUGGAAGAUUCACCUGUAGAAAGUCUUAUUAACUCCCAGAUGGAGAUGCUCAAUGGUACCCAACUUCCAGGGACCUGUUCCUGAUGCACGCAUGGGAGGGAGCUCUGCCUUCUGUCUCUGAAGCUCCCACCAUGAAUCGCCAAUAGACUCAUUUCUUGACACAUCCCCCGACUGGCUGAGUUUCAUCCUCUGAAUUAUGAGACAAGAAAACCCAGAGACCACAGACUUAGUGGAAGCUUAUGUGACCACCAGUGUCUGACACUCUCACUCCUGAGAUAAAGCCCACCUGAAUAUAGAGAGAAAACCUCCAUGGACUUCAAAGACACCCUGCUUGCUCUGUAUCAGCAUCGUUAGGGGUCCUGCCUUUGGAUUACAUUACUUCACUUCUAGUGGGACUUCAGCUACUUCCUGUGGCAGUGAGUUGUUUUAAGACAGUGAGACGAGCCCCUUCAGGGUGUCUAGUACCCUGUCCAGCUAUUCAAUCUCUUCAAUCUCUUCCACCUCUUCUGCCGUGAUGAUGAUCAAGCCAUGUGGCCACGAGUCACUUACAAGUUCCACCUAAGACUUGGUGCCAUGCU